RNAcentral lists this ribosomal RNA (490 nucleotides) under uncultured bacterium. RNAcentral describes it as "partial 16S ribosomal RNA". It matches the Rfam family "Bacterial small subunit ribosomal RNA", at positions 30 to 507 of the family's 1533-position model. The record is from RNAcentral.
AUUGAACGCUGGCGGCAGGCCUAACACAUGCAAGUCGAACGGUAACAGGAAACAGCUUGCUGUUUCGCUGACGAGUGGCGGACGGGUGAGUAAUGUCUGGGAAACUGCCUGAUGGAGGGGGAUAGCUACUGGAAACGGUAGCUAAUACCGCAUAACGUCGCAAGACCAAAGAGGGGGACCUUCGGGCCUCUUGCCAUCGGAUGUGCCCAGAUGGGAUUAGCUAGUAGGUGGGGUAACGGCUCACCUAGGCGACGAUCCCUAGCUGGUCUGAGAGGAUGACCAGCCACACUGGAACUGAGACACGGUCCAGACUCCUACGGGAGGCAGCAGUGGGGAAUAUUGCACAAUGGGCGCAAGCCUGAUGCAGCAAUGCCGCGUGUAUGAAGAAGGCCUUCGGGUUGUAAAGUACUUUCAGCGGGGAUGAAGGGAGUAAAGUUAAUACCUUUGCUCAUUGACGUUACCCGCAGAAGAAGCACCGGCUAACUCCGUG